Mizuhopecten yessoensis (Yesso scallop) is the source of this 556-nucleotide long non-coding RNA. RefSeq lists it as uncharacterized. Lineage: Eukaryota; Metazoa; Mollusca; Bivalvia; Pectinida; Pectinidae. The transcript is spliced from 5 exons. The record is from RefSeq and is a predicted model, not a curated record.
UGUUUAAAUAGACCGACAUUGGUCAUGUUCUGUUGAUCGAACGUUUCAGUUUGUGUUAGUCACAUGUAGAAGAGACUCGACAAGAUUUUCAAUACUAGAAAGGAUUCCUGCAGAAUUGGAGCAAAAUGGUGAAAAUUGUCCUGAAGUAUGGACCCAUCAGGAAAUGAAACGGCACCGGCUACAAUCUAGAUAGGGUCAAGGGCCUGAUGGCGGCUUUAACUUCUGCCGGUCACAAGGUCACCACUCAAAAGAUCCAGAAGGACAAUGCAUGUGAACUGUACGUUGAUUCCGAACUGGUGUGGUCUUGUAACAUCACAGAGUUUAAACAAGGAGCCAACGCUUCGCAUCCAAUGUGUGUAGCAGCUGUAAAUGCCGUUGACGCGUCUGGAGGGUCCAAAUGACCCUAAACCCUGACAUGAUAUGAUGCUGAAGCCGAUAGGUUUGACCUAUUAAACUACCUACGUCUGCAAUGACGGUUCCUUCUUAAACCAUAGACGAGUCGGAACUUGAUACACUCAGACUGUAGAAACAAAAAAUAAAAACUUCAUUAAUGAAA